This 72-nucleotide transfer RNA is filed under the name Loxodonta africana (African savanna elephant). It matches the Rfam family "tRNA". Rfam says of the family: Transfer RNA (tRNA) molecules are approximately 80 nucleotides in length. The record is from Rfam by way of RNAcentral. Lineage: Eukaryota; Metazoa; Chordata; Mammalia; Proboscidea; Elephantidae.
GCCCUUGUGGCUCAGUGGUUAAGUGCUCAGUUGCUAACUGAAAGAUCAGUGAUUCAAACUCACCCAGUGGCU